RNAcentral lists this ribosomal RNA (311 nucleotides) under uncultured Methanosaeta sp. RNAcentral describes it as "bacterial SSU rRNA". It matches the Rfam family "Archaeal small subunit ribosomal RNA", at positions 1028 to 1338 of the family's 1478-position model. Lineage: Archaea; Methanobacteriati; Methanobacteriota; Methanomicrobia; Methanotrichales; Methanotrichaceae. The record is from RNAcentral.
GUUAAGUCAGGCAACGAGCGAGACCCACGUCCACAGUUGCCAGCAUACCCUCCGGGGUGAUGGGUACACUGUGGGAGACCGCCGCUGCUAAAGCGGAGGAGGAGUGGGCAACGGUAGGUCAGUAUGCCCCGAAUCUCCCGGGCUACACGCGGGCUACAAUGGUUGGUACAAUGGGCAUCUACCCCGAAAGGGGAAGGAAAUCUCUUAAAGCCAAUCGUAGUUCGGAUUGAGGGCUGCAACUCGCCCUCAUGAAGCUGGAAUCCGUAGUAAUCGCGUUUCAACAGAACGCGGUGAAUACGUCCCUGCUCCUU